RNAcentral lists this ribosomal RNA (323 nucleotides) under uncultured Bacillota bacterium. Its description in RNAcentral is "bacterial SSU rRNA". It matches the Rfam family "Bacterial small subunit ribosomal RNA", at positions 28 to 351 of the family's 1533-position model. The record is from RNAcentral. Lineage: Bacteria; Bacillati; Bacillota.
GACGAACGCUGGCGGCGUGCUUAACACAUGCAAGUCGAGCGGGAUUUGAGAGCUUGCUCUCAAAUCUAGCGGCGGACGGGUGAGUAACACGUGGGUAAUCUGCCCUCAAGUGGGGAAUAACACAGAGAAAUCUGUGCUAAUACCGCAUAAUGUAUCUGGAUCGCAUGAUUCGGAUAAAAAAGAUUUAUUGCUUGAGGAUGAGCCCGCGGCCCAUUAGCUAGUUGGUGAGGUAAGGCCCACCAAGGCAACGAUGGGUAGCCGACCUGAGAGGGUGAUCGGCCACAUUGGAACUGAGACACGGUCCAGACACCUACGGGUGGCUG